Triticum aestivum (bread wheat) is the source of this 134-nucleotide non-coding RNA. Lineage: Eukaryota; Viridiplantae; Streptophyta; Magnoliopsida; Poales; Poaceae. The record is from Rfam.
AAUGUACUCUCUCCGUUUAAAAAUACUUGUCAUUAAAAUGGAUAAAAAGAGAUAUAUAUAAAACUAAAAUAUGUCUAAAUACAUCUUUUUCAUUCAUUUUGAUGAUAAGUAUUUCCGGGCGGAGGGAGUAGUAC